UCAAACUUGGUCAUUUAGAGGAAGUAAAAGUCGUAACAAGGUCUCCGUUGGUGAACCAGCGGAGGGAUCAUUACCGAGUUUUCAAACUCCCAAACCCAAUGUGAACGUUACCCAAUCGUUGCUUCGGCGGCUCCCUCACAGGUGCCGCCGGAGGCCAUUGAAACUCUUUUUGUAUCUUGCAGUGGCAUCUGUCUGAGUAGUUAGCCUCCGGGCGAAAAAAUGAAUCAAAACUUUCAACAACGGAUCUCUUGGUUCUGGCAUCGAUGAAGAACGCAGC
Molecule: unclassified non-coding RNA, 277 nt
Filed under: uncultured fungus
Lineage: Eukaryota; Fungi
Description: partial contains small subunit ribosomal RNA, internal transcribed spacer 1, and 5.8S ribosomal RNA
Rfam family: Eukaryotic small subunit ribosomal RNA (bases 1-73)
Source: RNAcentral